Molecule: ribosomal RNA, 415 nt
Filed under: uncultured soil bacterium
Lineage: Bacteria
Description: bacterial SSU rRNA
Rfam family: Bacterial small subunit ribosomal RNA
Source: RNAcentral
AGAUUGAACGCUGGCGGCAGGCCUAACACAUGCAAGUCGAGCGGCAGCACGGGUACUUGUACCUGGUGGCGAGCGGCGGACGGGUGAGUAAUGCCUAGGAAUCUGCCUGGUAGUGGGGGAUAACGCUCGGAAACGGACGCUAAUACCGCAUACGUCCUACGGGAGAAAGCAGGGGACCUUCGGGCCUUGCGCUAUCAGAUGAGCCUAGGUCGGAUUAGCUAGUUGGUGGGGUAAUGGCUCACCAAGGCGACGAUCCGUAACUGGUCUGAGAGGAUGAUCAGUCACACUGGAACUGAGACACGGUCCAGACUCCUACGGGAGGCAGCAGUGGGGAAUAUUGGACAAUGGGCGAAAGCCUGAUCCAGCCAUGCCGCGUGUGUGAAAGAAAGGGUUCUUCGGAUUGGUAAAAACACUU